CGGGCGCGCACGCGCCGGGGCGCGCGCCCAGGGGGCGGGCCGGGAAUCGCGGCCGCUCGCCAGUCUUUGGGCCGCGGCCCGGCGCCUGUGCUUCCUUUCGCCUCCUACGCGUUCUGUCGGUCGAGCCGGUGUAUGUGCGGCAAUAACAUGUCUGCCCCGCUUCCUGCCAUCGUGCCCGCCGCCCGGAAGGCCACCGCUGCGGUGAUUUUUCUUCAUGGAUUGGGAGAUACAGGGCAUGGAUGGGCAGAAGCCUUUGCAGGUAUCAGAAGUUCACAUAUCAAAUAUAUCUGCCCGCAUGCACCAGUUAUGCCAGUAACAUUAAAUAUGAAUAUGGCUAUGCCUUCUUGGUUUGAUAUUAUUGGGCUUUCACCAGAUUCACAGGAAGAUGAACAUGGAAUUAAACAGGCAGCAGAAAAUGUAAAAGCUUUGAUAGAGCAAGAGGUGAAGAAUGGCAUUCCUUCAAACAGAAUUAUUUUGGGAGGAUUUUCUCAGGGAGGAGCUUUAUCUUUAUAUACUGCUCUUACCACACAGCAGAAACUGGCAGGUGUCACGGCUCUCAGUUGCUGGCUUCCACUGCGGACUUCGUUUCCACAGGGUCCUAUCAGUGGCGUUAAUAGAGAUAUUGCUAUUCUUCAGUGCCAUGGAGAUUGUGACCCUUUAGUUCCCCUAAUGUUUGGUUCUCUUACUGUGGAAAAGCUAAAAACAUUGGUAAAUCCAGCCAAUGUAACCUUCAAAACCUAUGAAGGCAUGAUGCACAGUUCGAGUCAACAGCAAAAUGCAGACCAUUUUCAUGGGACUAGAUAACAGAUGGGAGCUAUUGUGGAAUGUACAAUAAUAAUAAUCAGGAAAUGUUCUGAAAUUUUUACUGGAGCCUCAUAUCUCUGUUACAACUUAUAUUGAAAUGAUGGAUAUCAAGCAAUUCAUUGAUAAACUCCUACCUCCAGUUGAUUGACAUCAGUAAGGGGCCUUGUGUAGAAGUACAUACCAGCCUCAUUGUAGUAGAGUAUAACUUUUUCUUGUGCCCUACCUUGAAACUUGUAAUGUUCGCAAUGUUUUGCAAAUAUACACCAAUGACAGAGACUGAGUAAUGUCUCCUCAUGGGAAAUUUAUGAUCUUUUAAGUUUCUAUAUAUGUAUUUGUAUAAUAUGAUCCAGAAUAUACUAGUAUUAAAAUAGGUGAAGCAGCUAGCUUCUUUUUCCCAAAUGUGAUUCAGCAAAAUAAUAAAAUACUGCAACGAGACUUUUUAUUACAUCAUUUGAAAAUUACUAGUAUGGUUAAUGAAAUCUUGUUCAGGUAUAAACGAGCAGUUAAGAUAUAAAUAAUUUAUGAAUGCUGUGACUUAGUCUGUGGACUUAUUCCAAAAUUACUUAGUCACCAUGCAGUGUCUGUAUUUUUAUAUAUGUAUUCAUAUAUGCUUAAUGAUUAUAAUAUAUAAGAAUUAUUCCUAACAAUAGGGAUAAUGCUUCUAAGUGUCAAUAAAGAGUAUUAUUGCUCUCUUCAA
Molecule: RNA transcript, 1501 nt
Organism: Hipposideros armiger (great roundleaf bat)
Lineage: Eukaryota; Metazoa; Chordata; Mammalia; Chiroptera; Hipposideridae
Gene: LYPLA1
Gene name: lysophospholipase 1
Exons: 10
Source: RefSeq, a predicted model, not a curated record